Panicum virgatum (switchgrass) is the source of this 739-nucleotide long non-coding RNA. RefSeq lists it as uncharacterized. NCBI's taxonomy places the organism in Eukaryota, Viridiplantae, Streptophyta, Magnoliopsida, Poales, Poaceae. The record is from RefSeq and is a predicted model, not a curated record. The transcript has 2 exons.
UGCAUGAAAACAGAAAGAAGUAUUAUCACUACAAGCUCUGGAGUUAAGUUAACUUCACGUGUUGACAGUCCACCGCCACGCACAGGAUGCUGGCGUUUCUGCUGCUGUCCGCAGCCGGCCUUUUCUACUCAAGAUGUUCUUUGAUCGGAUUGGAUCAGACAAAGAGAAGAUUGCAACUGUCAUAUGGAAAUUGGGACCAUUAUUAUUGAUCAACAUAAAACAGCACAUCAUCCGUCACAGGAUGGUAAAAAGGAAUAGCUCGAAUCAUUAUAUUGUUCAUUCAUGGUAUAUAAUUAAUCCUGUGCUCAAAAUUUUAAGUGUCACUGGAAAAGGUAUGAACACUUCAUUGCAAUGAUUGUGUUACUUGCCUACAAGUUAAAAAUAAGAGCACAUCUGAUUGAUCAUAGAAAUUUGACAUAAUAGUGGAUGUUUUUAGCAAAGAUCAGUGUCUUGCUUCUCUUGGGCUGGGCCUAAUUAUUAUUUCCCAACAGAAUACAAUGACAUACACAUUAGCACAUGUUUGACAUAGGCUUUACACAUGCAAUGAGGCAAUUGUUGAUUAUGUUUUAGUGCCACAAAUAUUCAAGUUCAAACUGAACAUUUUUUAAGUGAUGUAUAUUAAAACAUGAAUUGGAUGCAUCCUAGCAAAAAGAAUGUAGAGAGUUUGGAUGAUUGAGCUUUGACACGUAACUAAACAAAGCAUUAUUUGGAUAUGUACGGAGUUAUUCGUUUUCUUUUU